CCAGGCCACCUCCAUAGUAGCAACCAGUUGCCCUUAAGUUAGGUAUGUCCCUUGAGGAGAUAGUUAAAUCCCUUGCAACUAAUACACAAUAGUUUCAACAAGAAACAAGGGUUAGCAUCUAUAAUCUAGAAACCCAGAUGAGUCAACCUACAACACAUAUAAGUAGAUUGGAGUCUUAAGGUAAGCUAUCAUCUCAUAUAGAAGUAAAUUCGAGGUCAAACAUGAGUGCAAUCAAGUUAUGGAGUGACAAGGAACUGCAAGAAAUUCCUCGUUGGCUAAGCC
Molecule: long non-coding RNA, 282 nt
Filed under: Carica papaya (papaya)
Lineage: Eukaryota; Viridiplantae; Streptophyta; Magnoliopsida; Brassicales; Caricaceae
Description: long non-coding RNA (CPAP_LNC006175)
Source: RNAcentral